RNAcentral lists this unclassified non-coding RNA (657 nucleotides) under Hevea brasiliensis (rubber tree). Lineage: Eukaryota; Viridiplantae; Streptophyta; Magnoliopsida; Malpighiales; Euphorbiaceae. The record is from RNAcentral.
AAAGAGGCCUUGAGCCGUCGCUCUGGAUGCCUAUCCACGGGCAAAUUAUCCGCAACAGAUAUCUGAGCAAUCGCGUCUUCCACCGUCCUGGCUUCAAUAAUAGAAUCAUCCCGAUUAGUAUUGGUAACCAGCACCAUCCUCUCGUACUCCUCCUCGGCUGCCGUACGGCUCUGCUUUUUCUUAGCCUCCUCGGCCUUCCUCUGUAGCUCAGCUUGCUCCUCCUCUCUGCGCUUCCUCAAUUCAAGUUCGGUUACCUUGGGGACGGGAAUCGAAACCCUAUUCGCCUUUUUGUCAGGCUUCUUCAUGGCUUUUUCUAAUUCCUUCUCCUCCUGUUCGGCCAAACGGCGUGCCUCCGCCUUGCGAGCAGCGGCCUCAGCACGCUUCUCAGAUUCAUCCUCCCGCUUCUUGGCGGCACGGGACUUGGGACCCUCAGCUUCUCGCCAGAACUGAUCCACCUUCUCCUGACUCUCUCGCUCCUUGCGCUCGGUCUCAACGGCGCUCUUGCGUGCUCUCGCCGCGUCGGCUUUGCUGUUUACGCCCAUCUUCUUCGGCAUGGUUGCUUUUUAGGAUCAAAGGUCGUCUCCGGCGAGGGCGACGAUGAAGAUCGAUCGAAUUGCACGAAAUGGAGGAUUCUUUCUACCAAGUUCUAAGAAUAAU